Molecule: small nuclear RNA, 20 nt
Filed under: Arabidopsis thaliana (thale cress)
Lineage: Eukaryota; Viridiplantae; Streptophyta; Magnoliopsida; Brassicales; Brassicaceae
Description: snRNA_06627
Source: RNAcentral
CAUUGGGGGCGCAACGCCCU